UGAAAAGCCGGAUAAAAACUGCACAUUUCUCUCAGGCGCCAUCUAGUGGUCAUGGUGGGACUAACGCCCCCGAGCCAGCAACCAAACCAGCAGCCACGGCGCCAGCUACUGAAGAGAGCCACAGAAACAAGGGAGAGAUCACAUCUGACCGACACAGCGGCGUCCCCCCAACUCCCGCGGAAUCGGGGGGCGGUCCAGCGACACCCCCUCAAAAAACAGACGCCCCGACUCACAGCGAGCGCAAAUUGGGCAGUGAGGCAGCAGAGGGCUUGCUAGGUAAUGGGGUGGUUCCCCCUUACAGGAUUCCCAGUUUCAGGGAGAGCUUCCCUGUGUUUGCCCCGACUGCUCACCGGCCGUACUACAGCCUGGGACACUGCCUGAGAAAGGACUUCUUCCCAGGUCUCCCCCAGCCCUGCCGCUCUCUGUUCCAGGACUCCUUUACUCCGGAAGUGUCCCAGCGAUCCUCCAUCGACUCCCAAGACUGGCACGGGCGUGGCACAGACGAUCUGGGGAGAUGGACGGAGAAGAAUAUCGCCCACAGACAAUUAAAUAAAGCUCUCCAUGAAUUGCACGAUAGGAGCAAGACCAGCUAAACCCG
Acipenser ruthenus (sterlet) is the source of this 598-nucleotide long non-coding RNA. RefSeq lists it as uncharacterized. The transcript has 4 exons. NCBI's taxonomy places the organism in Eukaryota, Metazoa, Chordata, Actinopteri, Acipenseriformes, Acipenseridae. The record is from RefSeq and is a predicted model, not a curated record.